CGAUUUGGGAUAAGUCCCUUGGAAAAGGGCAGCACAGAGGGUGAUACUCCCGUCUUUGCUCAGAUUGUCUAUGUGUACGAUACGCUUUCUUUGAGUCGAGUUGUUUGGGAAUACAGCUCAAAGUAGGUGGUAAAUUCCAUCUAAAGCUAAAUAUUGGUGCGAGACCGAUAGCGAACAAGUACCGUGAGGGAAAGAUGAAAAGAACUUUGAAAAGAGAGUUAAAGAGUACCUGAAACUGUUGAAAGGGAACCGUAACAUGUCCAGUGUUGUAUCUCGUGCAUAUUUCAUUAGUGGAGUAAUUUACUGGUGCCCUGUGCAUGAGUGUGACGUCAAAGUCAGUUUGUAUGCUGCGGGAGAUGGGUAGCAAGGAGGUGCGUCACUUUGUGUCAGUUAUACCUUGUUAUCUAGUAGCCGUGGUUGAGACUGAGGUGCCUACAACAUGCUUAUAGAGUAUAUUGUUGUCUCGUUAUUAUAUCUGUUUGGAUAGCUUGCUAUGCUGAUGGACUAUAGUGGCGAUUGACGAUGGUAUUAACUUUUUGCUGUUCGGGACUUUGACGAAAUGGAAUGUUACGACCCGUCUUGAAACACGGACCAAGGAGUCUAACAUGUGUGCAAGUAUUAGGGUGUGGAAACCCAAAUGCGUAAUGAAAGUAAAUGCUACCUGUGUAGCUUUGGUAGGAAAGGGCUGUCAUGGUCCUGGCACUAUCGACCGAUCAUGAACCUACGGGUGAAAGAUUUGAGUAUGAGCAUAUAUGUUGGUACCCGAAAGAUGGUGAACUAUGCCUGAAUAGAGUGAAGCCAGGGGAAACUCUGGUGGAAGCUCGUAGCGAUUCUGACGUGCAAAUCGAUCGUCAAAUUUGGGUAUAGGGGCGAAAGACUAAUCGAACCAUCUAGUAGCUGGUUCCCUCCGAAAUUUCCCUC
Molecule: ribosomal RNA, 921 nt
Filed under: Achlya diffusa
Lineage: Eukaryota; Oomycota; Saprolegniomycetes; Saprolegniales; Achlyaceae
Description: partial large subunit ribosomal RNA
Rfam family: Eukaryotic large subunit ribosomal RNA
Source: RNAcentral